CCUACGGGUGGCUGCAGUGGGGAAUAUUGGACAAUGGGCGAAAGCCUGAUCCAGCCAUGCCGCGUGUGUGAAGAAGGCCUUCGGGUUGUAAAGCACUUUCAGUGGGGAAGAAAGCCUUGGGGCUAAUACCCUCGAGGAAGGACAUCACCCACAGAAGAAGCACCGGCUAACUCCGUGCCAGCAGCCGCGGUAAUACGGAGGGUGCGAGCGUUAAUCGGAAUUACUGGGCGUAAAGCGCGCGUAGGCGGUCUGAUAAGCCGGUUGUGAAAGCCCCGGGCUCAACCUGGGAACGGCAUCCGGAACUGUUAAGCUAGAGUGAAGGAGAGGAAGGUAGAAUUCCCGGUGUAGCGGUGAAAUGCGUAGAGAUCGGGAGGAAUACCAGUGGCGAAGGCGGCCUUCUGGACUGACACUGACGCUGAGGUGCGAAAGCGUGGGUAGCAAACAGGACUAGAUACCCUUGUAGUC
RNAcentral lists this ribosomal RNA (465 nucleotides) under Vreelandella stevensii. Its description in RNAcentral is "partial 16S ribosomal RNA". It matches the Rfam family "Bacterial small subunit ribosomal RNA", at positions 338 to 795 of the family's 1533-position model. Lineage: Bacteria; Pseudomonadati; Pseudomonadota; Gammaproteobacteria; Oceanospirillales; Halomonadaceae. The record is from RNAcentral.